RNAcentral lists this unclassified non-coding RNA (324 nucleotides) under soil metagenome. RNAcentral describes it as "partial contains 5.8S ribosomal RNA, internal transcribed spacer 2, and large subunit ribosomal RNA". The stretch from base 1 to 120 matches the Rfam family "5.8S ribosomal RNA", at positions 35 to 154 of the family's 154-position model. The record is from RNAcentral.
GAUGAAGAACGUAGCGAAAUGCGAUAAGUAAUGUGAAUUGCAGAAUUCAGUGAAUCAUCGAAUCUUUGAACGCACAUUGCGCCCUGUGGUAUUCCGCAGGGCAUGCCUGUUCGAGCGUCAUUUCAACCCUCAAGCCUCGCUUGGUGUUGGGCCCUGCCCGCCGCGGCCGGCCCUAAAGAUAGUGGCGGCGCCGCCUGGCCCUCAGCGUAGUACAGCUCUCGCUCCAGGGUCCGGCGGCAGCCUGCCAGAACCCCCCAACUCUGUGGUUGACCUCGGAUCAGGUAGGGAUACCCGCUGAACUUAAGCAUAUCAAUAAGCGGAGGA